This is a long non-coding RNA of Schistocerca gregaria, 370 nucleotides long. RefSeq lists it as uncharacterized. NCBI's taxonomy places the organism in Eukaryota, Metazoa, Arthropoda, Insecta, Orthoptera, Acrididae. The record is from RefSeq and is a predicted model, not a curated record. The transcript has 3 exons.
UUUGGAUGCAGCCACAUACCUGGAAAUGGCAGAUGUCAUCUGAAGGAUAAAGAAGGCAGACUGACUGCCUAGAACAGGUAUUGUAACAGAGUUUUUAUUAGAGACCUCCAGACAAAAAAUGAAUGGACAUUCCUAGUGUACAGAUGGUUUUCACUGACAAAAGGAGACAGAAGUGUCCACUACAGAGUAAAAGAAGCAUCAGAAGAAGAAAUUAUGUCUUUUAAAACACUUUUAUAUGAAAACUGUUGCUUUGAUCUGGGAGAACAGCAUGAUUUUUUUGGCAUUGUACUAAGGAAUCCACGCAAUCCUUUUACGCGUUGCCAGCGAACCAUGGCAAUUUUUGUUACUUUACUGCUUAGUAUGUUGGCAA